UAGGGAAUCUUCGGCAAUGGGGGGAACCCUGACCGAGCAACGCCGCGUGAGUGAAGAAGGUUUUCGGAUCGUAAAGCUCUGUUGUUAAGGAAGAACGAGUGUGAGAAUGGAAAGUUCAUACUGUGACGGUACUUAACCAGAAAGGGACGGCUAACUACGUGCCAGCAGCCGCGGUAAUACGUAGGUCCCGAGCGUUGUCCGGAUUUAUUGGGCGUAAAGCGAGCGCAGGCGGUUAGAUAAGUCUGAAGUUAAAGGCAGUGGCUCAACCAUUGUAGGCUUUGGAAACUGUUUAACUUGAGUGCAGAAGGGGAGAGUGGAAUUCCAUGUGUAGCGGUGAAAUGCGUAGAUAUAUGGAGGAACACCGGUUGCGAAAGCGGCUCUCUGGUCUGUAACUGACGCUGAGGCUCGAAAGCGUGGGGAGCGAACAGG
Molecule: ribosomal RNA, 429 nt
Filed under: Bacteroidota bacterium
Lineage: Bacteria; Pseudomonadati; Bacteroidota
Description: Bacteroidetes bacterium partial 16S ribosomal RNA
Rfam family: Bacterial small subunit ribosomal RNA
Source: RNAcentral